AUUUAAUUAAAUUAGUUAUUUUAUAACUAAUGUAAUCAUUUUAUUUCGUUAAGAUUAAGAAGCUCGUUAAUUAAGUAAUAGUAAUUCGUCUUCUUUAGUAAUUAGCCAUGUUUACCAAUUACAUCUAAUUUUGGAUAAAUCCUUAACUCUCGUUGGCCAUAGUUGCAAUACAUUGGACCUUUCCCUCAAUUUUGAUUUUAACUACUUUGGUCUAUAAACCUUUUUUUUAGAGGGCAAAUUUGGGUUAUUUCAGCUAAUCCAAUUCAAUACUUCAGCAGCCCACUCCAAUAGCCUACCCACUUUCCCUAAUUUCCAGCCCAUGUUUAAUUCCCAGCCAACCCAAUCCAAUUCCUCCUCCUGACCCGUCCCAUUUUCUCUUAUUCAAUAAGAAAUCAGUGCAAUCCAACGUUCCCAAAUUUUCUUCCUUCAACGCGUCAACUCCAGCGACUCAACGACAAAAGAAACCCAAAAACAUCAUACAGUAGCAGUAACAAAAGCAACGCGAAACCGUCCUUGCUCCUUGGGAUUGAGCCGCGUGGCAUAGCGAGGACGAUCAAAUCGAUUCGGAGCAUCUAUCUUCCCUUUCCUCUUUCGGAAUGGGGUGAAAAUUUCAGAAAAGGUUGUCUCUCCUGAAUUGUGAAAGAAUUUUUUCGAGUUUAAAUUCAAAAUGGGCCUUGAAUCCGAUUUCGUNNNNNNNNNNNNNNNNCUGAGUUCCUCCCCCCCCCCCCCCCCCCCCCCGCCCAAAAAAAAGAUUAGGAACCUUAGAAAUCUCUUUUAUAUGCUCUCUUCCUCUUUAGUGUUAGUGUCGGAGAACAGAGUCUAAGAAAUAUAUACUCAGGCAAAAAUACACAUAAAGAAUCACUAGCUAUAAAAGAUAAAAAUAUACUUUCUGCUCACUGCUUGCAAAGAUCAUCGGAAUCUCUUUGUGGUAGUGAAGUCGUUGUUCCAAAGCUCGUCUGGUCUCGGUUAUGCUGCCCCUUUGAAGGUAAUACUUGUCCCGCUUCAAGCAUCUUUUGCUCUUAAUGUGUUGUUGCUUGAUUCUUGACUAUGUGAAAUUGUUUACAUGUUAGAAUUCGGAGUGUUUUUGACUCACUGUUGGCCGUAAAUCAGUGAUAAAAUUUGUUUGUUAGUCCAUGUUGUUGUUUGUUUAUGUUUUCUUGAAAGGUUUGGUGUUUCCUCCCUGUCUUGAGUUUGUUUCUCCUUAUUAGAAUCUCUUUAUCUCAUUGCUAUCUCGAUUGGCGAGCUGUAGAGUUGCGGUUCAACCGUGAAGCUCAAACUCAUCUCCAAUAGGUGAUUUCGACUUCCAUAAUCUGAUGUAUAUGUUGUUUCCUGCUCUUGUUUACUUGCAACUAAAUAUCGUGUUUCAUUAUUGGUUUUUCGUGUGUCGUUAGGGUCUUUUGUUUAAUAAUAUUGAUCUUGUGCCUUUUCGUUAAAUGAUUAAGUUAAAGCUUGACUAAUGUUUUCUGAAGGAGUAAAGAGUGAGUUCUUGUAUGCUUUGCAUAUUUGAGGGUCUAUUCAUUUAUAUUCUCUUUACUUUGUUUUGGUUCCAUUUUUAUGUGAGUUAGCAUCUCUGUUUCAUGUAUUGCGUGAUUGUCCAAUGAACCAAGUGAUUGGGGUGCAGUUAAUGCAUCUUCUUAUCACUAAGUUAAAAGACAAGAUUCAGUUUUCUUUCUUAAGUUGUUAUUAGAUUUCAAAUGACUGGUCCAUUUCUUUGUGUAUGACUUUAGCUAAGGGUUCAAGUAUUUUGUCUUUGUUUCUACUGCUGUCCAGAUCCUCUUAAAUUCACAUGGAUGCUAGUAAUUUACUCUAAAUCAUGUAUAUUUCAUUGUAUGAUUUUAAAAUCUCCUUUCUUUGUUAAGGCUUGUGUUCUCUGGUUUGUUUCCUAAAAGUUUAAGUGCUUCUCAUGUUAGUGUAUAACAUUUGAGUUUCAAUUUUUUUUUUUGUGCUUUAUCAUGAAUAAAAGUAGCAAUUUGGAUCAACUUAAUAACUUGUUCAUUUUUAGGUGGAGCAUUUAAGUUAUAUUUUCCUUAAUUUGCCGAAACAAAAGUCAUAUGCAGAGAUGUUGUGUUAUUUAUCUUAAACCUAUUCUUGCUUUAUUCCAAGUUUAUGUUGGUGUAAAAUUUGUUUGUUUUCUUCUUUGGAGCGAGUCCAGCAAGCAUGCCAACAUGACUUAUUUAUUUGUGUCAUUUUUUUAUUUUUUUAUUAUGAUUAUAUGUCCUAUUUUCCUUGGCUAAUACAAUUAUUUUAUGUGUAUGUGAAUCUAUCUUGAGUCCUCACGGACUUCUCUAUCCCCUUGCAUUCCGAUUUGGGCCGUAAAGGUCCAAAUUUGCUCUUCUUACUCGAGUCAACCUCAUUAUCCGGUCAGAAAAAUCGGCGAACAGGUUACGGGCAGUAUAAGGGCGGGAAAUUAAAUUUCCAGGUUUCGAAUAGCUGAAAAACGGGUUGAUAUACCUGUUGUAUACACUGGUAUACAGUUGUAAAAUACGGUAUACAAGUUCGAAAUGCAGAAAUACAAAUUGAGAAGGGCGGAAAUACAAAGUGCAAAUAAAAUACAGGCUUCGGAAGGCCCAAAACGGGUUGGAUACGGCUCGUAUACAGCGUUAUGCAUAAAAUGUAUGCGCAGAUUUUCUAAAGGCAAAUGGGCCCAAAAGCCUUAAGCCAUUUUCAGCAAGCCUAGAUGGCAUGAAAAUGGGCCGAGGCCCAAUGAGACAAAUCAGAAAAAUUGAAGUGAGAGUAAAUGGGUCAAAACCCAUCAUUUUGGCAACUUUAGACUUAGAACAGGUUCAAGAUUUUGGAAUUUGGACCAAAGGCCCAAAUUUGAUAUUUCCUUCCUUUGCUUUUUUAUUUGUUAUUGACUAAUACUUUUGGUUUAACUUAAUUAAUUUCCUAAAGAUAGUCGUUUCUCUUUAUAUUCAAAAGUUAAAAUAUUUAUUCUUUCUUAUAUAUACAACUUAUUUAUUACUUAGCUCUAUUUUAUCAUUAGUCUUGUCGACACUUAAGUUACCUCCCUUUAGAAUGAUCCCCCUUUAGUUUAUUUCCCCUUAAAAUGAUUAAUUAGAAAAAUAACAGUAAUAAGUAAAUAAAAUAAAAAAAAUGAGUUCUUUUACUUAGUUAAAAUUUUAAGAAUUACUCAAAGUCAUUUUUAGUCAAAUCGCCGGUCAACCGCAAGUUAGCGGACAUUCUGAGGGCCUAACACCGUCUCUGAAUGUACAUUGAACUCGAACCCUUUUUAUUUCAAUUGAUUUUUAUCUGUUUAAAUCUUUUGAAAUAAUUAUAAGUUUUCUUAAUUUCUUAAAAAAAAAAAAUUAAGUGGCGGCUAUGUUUCUUUUGGAAAUUCGAUUUCUCUUAAAUCGUAAGUUUAAUUGAUUUUUCGAAAACUUAGUCAUUUUUCUUUUAUUUAUUUUUUCGAGUAAAACAAUGUAUCUAGUAUCCCAGUCUCCCGAUACUAUGGUCAAAUAUUUUUUCUAUAUAUAUAUAUAUAUAUAUAUGAGAGAGAGAGAGAGAGAGAGAGAGCAAUGUAUGUAAUAUGCAUAUAUUGUAUCAAAAAUAAAUAGGAAAUGUAUGUGAAAAGUGUAUUGAUAAAAAUGUAUAUAAUAUGUAUAUAUAUUGUAUGAAAAAUGAAUAUGAGUGUAUAUGAAAAAUCUAUGAAUAAAAAGGUAUAUAAUGUGUAUAUAUAUUGCAUGUAAAGUGAAUAUUAAACAUAUGAAGGGUAUUGACAAAAAAAUAUAUAAUGUGUAUAUAUAUUGAAGAAAGUUAAUAUAAAGUGUAUACGAAAAGUAAAUGUGUAUAUAAUGGAUAAAGUGUAUGAUGAAUGUAUAUAUUCGAUAAUAUAUACAUCGUGUAACUAGCAUAUAAACAUUAUUGUACUUAUAAUAUAUAAAUAAAAAAUUAUAUAUAGUUGAGUUAAAUAAUACAAAUAUUAUUUUUAACAUAAAUAGAUAAUAUAUAGAUGAAUAAUUGAGAAUGUCAAAGAUAAAAUAGACAUUAUAGAAAAGAGAGAGAAUAUCUAUCUAUCUAUUAUUCAUAAUUGAUGUGAGGCUUUAAUUUUUGAAUUAAAGCUGAGAGGUAUAAAUAACUUUCACUCAUUAAGAUUUAAACUUAACAAUUAUAACUCCAAGAGAAAAAUGAAAAUGAAUAGCCAAAUCAUAUCAAAAGAGCUAACAAAUAGGAAACGUUGAAUAUUUAACUCCUAACUUCACAUUUAUCCCAUUUCCAAAACCAAAUUUGUCCAAAAUAUUUGUCACAUUCAUCAAAUAUUGAUCCAUCUCAUAAAUUCAGACAAUUCCAUGGCAAUAACAUGUAUAUUCCCGUGUAUAUCAAUGUAUACCCAUACAUCUCACCGUUACAUUUGUAAUAUACAACACCUACGGCAUGUGUAUAUCAUAUUAUCAAUGUAUAUCACACAUAGAUCUUGUGAAUAAUAGAAUAUUGAGCAUUUUAUCCAAUUAUUCAUCGUUCGAUACCUAAAUGCCAAAUUAUAUUGGUUUUUAUUGAAUCACAACUCCAAAGAAGAAUCGUCACCUAUUGAAUUUAACAUUGUAGCGUUUAAUUUAAAAACUAAAAACACCAUCGAAACAUAUAAGUCAUACAGUAAAAAAUCAAGUUUAAAUUGAUUGGUUUUACGCUUAUAUUUUGUGAUUGAAGUAUGUGCAAUUACAUUGUACGUACAAAAAUAAAACGAAGCAUAAUUCAUUUUUUUAUUAAAUUAUUAGAAGAUGAAUAAGGAGGAAUAAUACCACAAAACCACAAGUUAGAUUUUUCUCAUUUUUUUGUAAUAUGUUAUAGUAUUCAUUAUAAAAAGUAAAUUCAAAUUUAUAUGUAGCUAAAGGUUAUUCACAAUAUUGAAUGCUGAAUAUAUAGCGUAUAUCCUGCAUUAUAAUGUACGUUUUUAAUAAUAUUGACCUAUGUACCAUGCCGAUUUUUUUUAAAAAAAAAUAUUACUUAACGUGUUAACCAAAGUUUGCAAAAAAUACUCCAUCCAUUUCAUUUAUUGGAUUAAUUGGUUCCGUUAUAGUAAAAAUUACCUAAGUUUUUUUAGUGUGUUGCAUUAUUGCAUAUGAUAUUGUAGAGAAGACGGGGAACUAGAGCUUACCCUUGAUAUAUAAUCACAUAUUGCAAGCAUUCUAGGUAAAAAAAAAAAAAAAGGUGUCUAACAGUCGGUGUUCACACCCUUUCUAACUACAAAGAAAUACAAUUUUAGCUAACAAAAAAAAUUGGCUUUGUAAUAUUGUAGCCUCACAUUAGGAACUUGCCUUCGAUCCAAAAUAUAAGAUCCUAAUGCACCUCUUGGACCAACAUGGAUUUGUAGUGCACUGGUGGGAGUGAUUAAUUCAGAGGUCUCGGAUUCUAGUCCUGAGUAUGGAGAAAAUUCUAUUGGAAGUGUCACUCCCGAAUGAGCCCUGCAGUGCGCGAUCCAGAUUUAAAUGUAACUUCAAUGUGUACUCCGAACACACCCUAAAACACCAAAAAAAAAAAUGCACCUCUUAGCAAUUGACUAAUAUUAUGAAUCAAAAGUUGAUUAUCCAAAGUAGUGGGUUUAAAAAAGAAACAAACGAAGUUUGAUAUUGUGAAAAAGGUCGAGAUAAUAUUUCAUAGCUUAUAAAGUACUACAUGUUAUGUUUUUGUAAAAGAUGCAAUUAUCAAAUAUAUAGCCUUCACGUGGAGUUGUCACGAUUGAUAUUGAUUUGAACUCAAUUGUUCAUCUAAAUUUAAUAUUUUUUAUACAAAACAUAAAUUUAUAAAAAUUAUUAAAUUUGCAACAAAAAGAUCUUAACCCACGAUGUAGAAUGGGUGGCUCAAGGGGUGUACAUGGCCCGAUUGGUUCGGGUUUUUCAAAUAUCAAACCAAACCAUUUGUGUCGGGUUUUUAAAUUUAUAAACCAAACCAAAUCAAUAAAACUCGGGUUUUUCAACCUCGGGUUUUUUUGGAUUUUUUCGGGUUGAUUUGGAUUUUCUGGUAAAGUAUUCAUACAAACAUAUAAUUUACUUGUACUUCAAAUAUUUCUUUAGUCCUACCAAAAUACAACUAUCUAAGAUGUUUCUUAAAAAUAUAACACAAUAUGAUAUGAUUAAUGACACUAAAAUAUCCAACAAAAAUAAUAAUAAUGANNNNNNNNNNNNNNNNNNNNNNNNNNNNNNNNNNNNNNNNNNNNNNNNNNNNNNNNNNNNNNNNNNNNNNNNNNNNNNNNNNNNNNNNNNNNNNNNNUUUAUUGGACCAUUCCGAAUUCUAAGUUUUAAACUUGAAAUAAUAUAUUAAAAGAUAAAAACUAUGAAAAAGUAUAAGAAAUAUUUAAAAAUUAUAUCAAAGUAAAUAUUUUUAUGUAUAAAAUAAAAUUUUAAAAUUAUAUAUAUAAUGUCGGGUUGGUUUAGUCUCGGAUUGGUUUUUUUUAGUUAAAACCAAACCAAGUCAAACCAAACCACUAGUCGGGUUUUUUUUUUUCAAAACCAAACCACUAGUUGGGUUUUUUUUCUGAGUUGACUCAAUUUACGAUUUGGUUCGAUUUUCGAUUCGAUUUUGUACACCCCUAGGUAGGGGUGGCUGCGAUAAGGUUUGUGUGCAUGUGUGUGGUCCUCUUAAUUAACUACAUCACCCAACUUAGUUGAAGCAAAGGUGGUCCUUUAAUUUAUUGAAAUGACAAUCAUGCAUGAAACUCAUGUUUGUAUUCUAACAGAUAUCUGAUUACCUAAUAACAUUCGCCAUUUAUUGCCUUUUUACGGUACGGGAUGGAUGGAAAAUAUUAUAUACGAGCUCGAUUAAACUCAAUAAUUUUAAUCUUAUAUAUUAAAAUCCUAUUUGAUAUCAACAAGGCUAGAGUGGUAAACAUAAUUUUUAUCAUAUUCUUAAUCAGAGGUCUCCGUAGUUAUUUUGAUAGUUGCUUUUGUAUGUUUACUAGCUAGGGUUCAUUCAAAUAUUUCCUCUAGUUAGAAUGAUUACUACAAGGGGGGUAAUUGGGAAUUGAACGCAGAUAUUUCCCUUCCAUAUUUUCACUGCUAUAUUUAAGGCCGCAAUCAUUCACUAUGCAACUUGCAAACUAGCCAACCACUCUCUACGCCAUAAUAAGUACUCGUUCCCUCUUUUUUCUAAUUGUGAUUGAUUUCUCUUUUUACAGUAAAAAAAUAAUAAGAAUUUAACUAACAUUUUACGAUGUAUUUUUUCAUUAUAUUGACAUGCAAAAAAUUGCAAUACUUUUCGUAUAUUUUUGAAUAUUUAAAUUUUUUGUUUAAAAUAUCGAAUUAAUGUAACUUUCAAAAAGUGUAACAUGACAACUAAAAGGGGAUAGAGGAAGUGUUAGUACUCCUUCCUUUUUAAUUUUUAUCAUGCAUGUAAUUUAUUUAUUUUGAUUGAAUACAAAAUUUAAAAAUUUAAAGAUAAAAGACUUUUUUUAUUGUAUUUUAAAAUAAGGUUAAACUAUUUUGUUUGUUCAUGUUUUACUCCUUCACAAUGAAUUUGUACUUAUAUUCAGAAAUAAUAAAUGCAAGUGUAUAUUUUAUCAUAAUAUAUUUAUUAAUAUCAUUUUAAAAAGACUUCGAAAAUAAUUUAAGAAAUGAAGUAGUAAAUGUUAAGGAUAAAAUAGGAAAAAUAAUACUCAUAUUUUUCUCUCAAUAUGCUAAAUUGAAAUAGAAGAAAUAGUUCUCACCACAAAAAAAAUAAGAUUUUAUACAUUGAUAGUCCUUUAAAUCAGUAACAAAGUUCAUUUAAGCAUUUGAAUUAAGAUUUGUUAGCCUCUAAGCAUAUACUGAUAAAGUGGUUUUAUUAGUCAAUUUCAGUUCAAAUUUUGAAAAAUAUUUGAAUGUGUUCUCAAGUAUUCAUUACGUAGACAAGUUAAUCAUUAAAAUAUGUGCCUCAAUAAGUCGUAAAACCUUAGACUUAUUCUAAUUGAGGUUUAAAAGAUAAUAUAUUUUACGUGACUAGCUUAAAUACCUAGAAAAUGAUUGAAAACACAUGCAAUUUUAUUUAUUUUUUAAAAAAAAAUUGACUUGAAAGUGUCUAAUAUGAACACUUUAUUAUAUGUUCAAGUGCUCAAUUAAAACAAACUUUAAUUUGAAUAUCGUCUCAAUGAAAUUUAACAAUAAAUUUAAAAGAAUAUCGAUAUAUUAAACCCCCAAAAAAAAAAGAUAUUUACUCCCCAUUAUCGAAGAAAAAUAAAUAAAUAAAUCAAUAUCACGUGUUUGUUUUGGUGGAUUAUUUUGUUUUUAUGUGCAAUAUAGCUGGGCAGGUAACUUGGAUAAACAACAACAUCAUAAUUCAUACUCACAUAACAUUGAUUGUAACGUACAACUAUCCCAAGUAAACAGACCAAUUCAACUGUCAUUUCAAUUUAUUGUUUUGAGGGGAAAAAGCAAAAAUUAACUAAAGAAUCUUGUUUGUACAUGUACGAGGCAAAAAUUAAAUGCAAUUUUCGGUUGCGUAAGAUACGUUCAAUCUUAAAAGCCCAAACAACACCAUGUGUCCCCAUGAUCUGAUCCUACUGAUCAGAUUGGGUCCACCAACAAAUUUUCGUGACUACUUUUAUAUAUAUUUUUCGUUAAAUUUCCAACAAAAAUAUUUCUAUUAUAUAGAAGAGCCAUGAGAAGGACGAUCAAUGACAUUUUAGUAAUUUUAACAUUAUUUAAGGGUAAAAUAAUAAUUGUAUAAUAAUGGUCAAAAUGAAAAUCUAGAAGAAUCCAUACAUGUCUUAACUUUUGUUAUGGGGCCCAUAAGGAUAUUAUUGUAAUUUUGUUAAAAUAAAGAGUUUCUAUUAGUUAACUUAUUACAAACAAUAAUACUAAGCUUGUUUUGACAUAUUUUAGAAAGAAAAUUUUGAACUAAUUAAAAUAAAAUGUGUUUGAAUAGUUAAUAUUUUGUUCUUAGAAAUACUUUAAAGGAUUAUUGCGUAAAAAUAUUUUUAAUAUUAUGUUACAUAAUAUGACCAUUAAAUUUGUAUCUUGAUUAUUAAAAUAUUCUUUAAAAUGACGUAUCAAUAUUUUUUAAUUAAUUUGAAGAAAAUAUCAAAUUUCGUGACUAAAAGAAUGAACAAUGUUUGACUAUCAAGAAAUUAAUAAUUCGAUAAUGUAUUCAUCGAAAGAUUAAAAAAUGUUAAAAAUUUUCAUUUCUAUAUUUUCUUAAUAUCAAAUAUGAUAAACUAUUUAACAGAGAAAAUUUGACAAGGAAAACGUUUAACAUUCAAAUUCUAAUGAAUAUUAAAAUUCAAAUUAAAGAAAAAUGAGUAGUUAAAAAAUAAAGAAGAACAACAAAAGAAAAUGUCAAUAGAAAAAGACUUAGUUGUGAAAUAUAGAGGAAGAAAAAAACUAAAAACAAAUGAAUUAGGAAAAAACAACCUGAAAAAAAAAGUAUAUUGGUUAUUUUGUGGGGGUAAAAUUUAGGGUUUUCUUUACUGCGUGAUAUUAAGAGUGUAGUAUCAAAAAAAAUUAAUUAAUGUAAUUUCGAAUAUAUCAUUACGAUAAUUGUUAUUGUAUAUAGAAAUAAAGUUUCUUUCAUGAUUGUUUUUAUUUUUGUUGAGUUACAAAUUAUUUUUUUAAUAAAUACUUUCAAUAUUUAGAAUAUAACAUCACGAUAAUUGUUAUUGUAUAUAGAAAUAAAAUUGCUUUCUUGAUUGUUUUUAUUGUUGUGAAGUUAGAAAUCAAUUUAAUAAGUAUUUUUAUUUAUCGAAGACAAUAAUAAAAUGUAUCACAAAAUUCAUUGACAAAGCCAAUUACAAACACAGUAUACUUAAGUUGAAGCAAUAGAGAUUUGAAAGACUUUAAAUCGAUCUUUACGAAUUAAUUGAUCAAAUUAUCAGAUGCAAAGCUUAUGAUGCAAAUAUUACAAAACGAAGAUAAUAACAUUGUGGAAAAUAGAUACCACUUGAAUAUAUAUGAUGAUCAAUGAAAUUUUUCAAAGAUAUCAACAUUUUAUAUAUUCCUCAAACACGAAAUGUUUUUAACUCAUAAUCUAACGCAAUUCUCUAUUUCCUUGCUGCAUAUAAUUUUUUAGAAUUCAACUUUCUCAAUUUAGGUUGUAAACGACACAUUUAUGUCGUAUGAUCAUUUGAAAUAGAUUAUAAAGUAAUAUAUUGAAGUUGUUUACUAAAGAAAAAAAUAGUAUAAAGUAUAGAAAUCUCAUAUCUUUGAAGGCUAAUUACAUAAUAUCCGGGAAGUUUCCUCAAUUACAAAAAUUUUGAAUUUUUCAUUUCUCUAGAAUACAUUCCUUGGUUGUCCAAUACAUUGCAAAUGACAUAUUACUUCGGGGGAGGGAUGUAUUCGAGAGGGGAUAGGUAUGUAUCCGAGAGGGAAUAGAUUAUCCGAGAGGAAAUAAGGAUGUAUCCGAGAGAGGAUUAUAAUAUCUUAAGUUGUGAAUUUAUGUAAUUUUUCCAACAAAAUAUGUGAAAUUAUAUUAGGCCCAUAUCAUGGGCCUUAAAUUAUCUAGUGUAUAUAUAUAUAUAUAUAUAUAUAUUGUGAGAUACAUACAUCCAAUUUGAAGGACAUAACAUGAUCUAGAGAGAAAAGUAUGUGCAAUCAAAAUCCGGUAAACUAAUCAGAUGACAAUAUAUAUAUAAUCAUAAUUUAUGCAGCAGCGUUUGAAUAAACUAUCUUAAUUAACCAAAAAAAUGAGUAUUCUCAGGUAAAUUACCUGCAUGGCGCAGUCCUAAGGUAAGUGAAACAUCACUAGCCGUAGUGGUCCCAAAUGUUAUCAUGUUGGAUCCAAUUUCAGAAUUACUAGCCAUAUUUGUGGUCCCAUAUUCCGCUCCACUGCGGCGAUAUAAGAUGUGGUCGGACUCAUCUUGAAUAGUGGAGAAAUUGGUUAAUUGAGUUGGCAUAGAGGAAGAAUAAUGUGUAUUCAUUGCGACAAUUGAAGGGUCAUUUUCAGAGACAUUGAUUUGGGGUUUUUUGUCUGAAGCAAUUGUGGCAGUGGCAGCUGAUUUUGUUUCUGUAAUGUUAGAAUUGGUUGUAAUAAUAAUAUUAGGCGUUGGUGUUUGUGUAUUUGUACGGUUUUGGUUUUCUAGCAUGUCAUCAUCAUCAUCUUCAUUAACCUCUCUUUGAUACAUUUCUUCUACCAUGGGUUUCCACAAUCUCACCCUUGCAUUUAUGAACCAGUUUGCUACCUGCAUAUAAUAACACAACUUUAUUACUAUACGUGAAUUAGGCAAGCCAGACUCGACUCAAAAGGCACGAUAGUUACGUUGAGGAACAAAUAAACUAAAAAACCUUUGUCCUCACGAGUAUUUUGUAGUAGUAGUGCUUCUUCUACUUAGUUUGUAGAUGAUUCAAAAUUUCUAAUAACACUAUGUUGCUUCUAAAUAGUUAUUAAAAAUUAUUGGAUAGAGAUGGAGAUUAUUGAGAUAGUUUUCAAUAAUUUAAAUUUGGUUAUGCACAAUAAAGUCCCAUAGAAAUUGAUAUGAUAUAAUUCCUUAAGGGUCUGUUUGGAAAGUCAUUGGGUAAUUGGAAUUGGUGACAUUACUAGUCUAGUAAUUAUCGGCUUAGUAAUUACACAAUAUCAGCCAUGUAAUUACCAGCAAUUCACAGUCUCCCUUGUGAACUGGAGAAGGUAAUUUACCUUGUCAAUUACACCCAACUACCCAUUGACCAAAUAAUUACAUGAUCAACCAAACAUGUCAGACAGUGUAAUUACACUCAAUUACACCAAAUCUAAUUACUAAAAGGACUUUCUAAACAUGCCCUAAAAAUAGCUUGCAAUGUAAAAUAGCGAGUCAAUACUGCUAAAACAAAUGAAAGUGAAAAUAUAACAUGAGUUCUAAAUUUAAAACAAAAAAAUUAACAUAAUACUCUUAUAUUAAAUUUCAACAUCAUAAAUAUGAUUUAAAAGAAAAGGAAACGUAAGUUCAUAACCUUAUUCAACAAUAAAUUCUAUUUUAAUUUAAAAAUUAGAAUACUAACAAAAUUAUACUAAUGAAAGAAAAAUAAAUAGAUAAUGCAAAAAAUUACAUGAAAUCACAUGAAGUAAAGUUGAGAAUGGGAAAGAAAAGAAAUAUAAAUAAUAUAAAAAAAAUUAGAAAACAUUAGAAUAAUAAAAAUAAAAAAGAAUUUAAAAUAAUAAAAUAAAAACAAAAGUAAAGAAAAAAAAUAUAGAAAUAAAAGAAUUAUAUUAAAAAUAAUCAACUUGUAAUUACAUCAUAUAAUUACUAGUAAUUCACAACCUCUCUUAUAAAUUGCAGAGUAAGAGUGUAAUUACCCUCUGUCAAUUACACUCAACCUCUCCUAUAAUUUGCAGAGUAAGAGUGUAAUUAUCCUCUGUCAAUUAUACUCAAUUACCUACUGACCAAGUAAUUACAUGAUCAAUCAAAUAUAUCAGACAUUGUAAUUACACUCAAUUACAGCAAAUCAAAUUACUAAUAUGACUUUCCAAACAGACACUAAAAAUAACCGAUCAAACCAUAUCAUUUACUCCCUGAGUUAUAACUAUUAAUUUUUCAUGCAACUUAUGAAUAUCUUGAGGAAGAAAAAAAGAUGUGAAAGACAGAAAUUUAUAGAAGGUAAGGGGACAAACCUGGUUUCUGGAGAGACCAGUCUGUCGUGCCAAAAGAUGCUUAUCUGCAUCACUUGGAUACCUGAGACAAAAUUUUCAAAUUAGAAAAAAAAAGCAGAAAAAUAUUUCCUCCGUUUUAAAAAGAAUAACAUAUUUUUCUUUAAGUUUGUUUAAAAAAGAAUUACCCUAUUUCCUUUUUUAGCAAUACUUUAAUUUCAAUUUUUCAAUAUAUAAAUUUCGUGUUAAGUCAAAUUAUGUCAUUUUUUUAAAACGGAAAAAGUAUGUUAGAGUGCCUUACUUAAACUGUAUAAAAAGCUGGAAAUGCUUUCCUUAUCCGUAGAUGAGAAUUGACACUUUUGUUUUGUUGUAUGUAAACAUAUUGGCGUGAGGAUCGAAAAAGGAAAUACCAAAUUCAUGAGCAGUGUUAGCUGCUGGCUAAAGCAGAAAGUAAAGAGAGAAGACAAACUCCACCUCUCUCUCUUUUCUUUUUUUUCUUCUUAACAUUCAUUUCAUUACAUAGAUAGAUUCUCUUGCUUUUUAUCAUCAUUGUUAAGUUGUUGUCAUGCAUAUAUCACCUUAAUGACCACUAAUUUAGUACUCUCUCCGUUCCUAUUUACAUGUAGUUCUUAUUAAAAAUAGAUGUUUCUUAAUAUUUGUUAUUUCACAAAAUUAAUGUAUAAAUAACAUUAUUUUUUCUUAUUUUACCUUGGAGAGUUAUUAACCUUGAAAAUAUAAAUUUGACAACUAAGUAAUUAAUUCAUGUUCAUUAAUCAAAAUAAAUUAAUUCAUGUUCAUUUAUGGAAAACUUGACUUUACAAAAAGGAAAAAUCCUUUUGCCUAGAAAAUUUGGUCAAAACUUGGCCAAAAUGUUAAAAAUAACAUAUUUCACACUAUGUUAUUUUACUUUUUAAAACAUUUUUACCCUUUUAACUUUAAUACCUUUCAAUUAAAAUAUGGAAAAACGAUCAAUUUAUUUUAAAAUAAAAAGGAUAUUAUAGACUUUUUAAAUUUCUUGCCAAAUUUUCUGGCCAUUUAGCAUUACCCAAAAAAGGAAAAAAAAUAGUACUCCCUCCGUCCCAUUUUACGUGACACUUUUUGAAUUUCGAGAUUCAAACAAAUCUAACUUUGACCAUAAAUUUUUCGUAGAUCUUUUAAACAUUUUGAAUUAUCAAUUGUUGUGACUUAUAGUAUUUUUUUACCUAGUUUACAAAUAUAUAAAUUUCAUUUCAAAAAAAUUGAAGAUUUCAUGCGCAAAUUUCCGGUCAAACUUAAAUUGUUUGACUCUUGAAAAAUAAAAAGUGUCACAUAAAUUGGGACAGAGGGAGUAUUAAAUAAGCAAUGGUAAAAUUACCUGGUUUCUCAAGGAGUGUAAACCUAAAAUGGUGACAACUAUAUAGAAACGGAGGGAGUAAGAGUUUAACUUUAAAUAUUCAUUCACUCUUAAUGAAAUGAUUUAUAUAUAAUCACAUAAAUAUUUAUGACUUGUUUAAAAUUACAUAAAUUUCAAAAAAAAAAAUUAAAAAUUUAAUAUCAAGUCAAAUUAUCACAUAAAAUGAAACGAGGGAGCACUACUUUUCAAAUGCAUGCCUAAAUAAGUCAGAAAGGUGGUAGUAUAUUGGAUUUCAUCUAGAGGUAAAAGUGGUGCACAAAAAGUAGUAAGAGGUAAUUUUGCAUUUUGUUGAAAGGACUGAUGAAUUGCAGCAGUGCCUUUAACAUUGACUGCAAAGAGAGGGAAAAAGAAAAUGUACCAACUACUCAAUAUUGGAAAUGUGUUUUAGAUUAGACUAAUAAAAGUUGAUUGCACAAAAAUUCAUUUAGCAAUAAUCAUGGUAUCAAAGACUUUUCCUCAUUAACUUUCGGUUGUGUGGUAAAUAUCAAAUAUCUAGAUUUUAUAAAGGAACUAGGACUUGGGACAAGUGUAUGUAAGCUAGAGUUUAUACAAACAAGUGCAACUCAACUUCAAGUUACUUUGUUAUAUUCUAUUCUUUUUAAUCUUAUUCAUAUCUUUUAUACUUAAAAAUAAUUUAAUUUUACUUCUUUUCUUUCAUUUUAUUAUGCACUAUAUCAAAUACAAUUUAAGUCGAGUACACGUUAUUUAACUUAUAGUAUUUUUUUUAUAUAGGGUUUUAACAUUUUAACCAAGUGAAUAAAAUUAUAUUCUAUUCACCUGACAAGAGGUAGUUGUUCGAAUGGUAAAUAUAUUUCACUUUCAACCCUAAAGUUGUGAGUUCGAGUCACCAAAAGUAGGUCCUCCUAGGAAAGGGUAAAGAUGUACACACUGUUAUUUUUGUUAAUCUCAAUUUAUACGUCACAACAUUAGAGAGUUAAUUUUUUUUAAAUUCGGAUAUAGAAUCUUUAAAUUUAUUUUAAAAUAUAAUAUAUAUAUAUAUAUAUGAAAAUUUACGUACUCCAUCCGUCUCAAUUUAUGUGACACCUUUCUAAUUUCAUAAUUCAAACAAGUAUUUUUAUUACCGUAAUUUUUUCAGAUAUAUUUUAAAAAUAUUGAAUUAUCAAUAAUUGUUACUUAUACUAGUACUUUUUACGUAGUUUUUAAAUAUAUAAAAAAAAUUAAAAAUUAAAAAAAACAUAACUUAAAGACUUCCCGCCUGAAUUCAAGGUCCAAACUAAUUAGUUUGACUCUGAAUAUCAAAACAAUGUUACAUAAGUUGAGACAUAGUGAGUAAAAAAAUACUAUAACCCCUCAAAAUAUCUUUAAAACAUAAUUAAGAAAAAAAUAUGACAAAAAAAAAACUUGUUUGACUUUCGAAAUAUCUCACAUAAAUUGAGACGAAGGAGUAUAGAUAGAAGUUAGAAGGAAAAAGAUGAGAAAGACGUACGGAUGUAGAAAAUGUUCGAAAAGCCAAGCUCUUAAAAUAUUGACAGAUCGUUCAGGCAAUCCUCUUUGUGGCCUCCAAGCUUCUUGUUCCAUCAUUCCCAUUUGUUGAAAAGCUCUUUGUUGCCUCAAGCUUUGUUCAAGCACCUUAAGCCUUGGUGUUUCUCCUUUAGUCAGUCCUGAACUACUGCUUGCAUCUUUUUCACCUAGUGCCUCACAUGUCUUCUUCAAUUGCGCCGCCACGCCAUCUUUUAAACACUUGAAAUGCCUAGACAUAGCUUUCUGUGCUAGUGCUGUGUAAGGAACUGCAGCUCCAAAACCCAUCACUAGAUCGAAUGAGUUUACUACCAUCUGCAUUUGUUCACAAUAGUGGUUGUAUCUUUUCUCUACCUACAAGUAAUUAAACACACCAAGAAAUCAAAGAAAGAAUAUUUAUAAAGUGUAACAAUCUAUCUUAUUUUUAUACAAUUAGGUUAACUACAAUAACAAGAAGUUUUUUUUCUAAUAACAUGGAAAAUGAAGUGCUAAAUAACUUAUUAUUCGAUCUUGAUUUUUCUGUUUUAAUCUGUUUAAAAAAGAAUGCAUAUAUCCUAAUUUAGAAAUUACUCGUUAAUUUUAACUCUUACAAUAUGACAUGUUUAAGACCACAAGUUUAAAGAAUAUUCCAAUAUAAUAUACGUAUUCUUAGUUAAUUUAAGAUUACAAGAAUCAAAAGUGUUCGUCAGCGAGUUAAUGAAAAAGUAGUUCAAUUAGUUGAAAAACAUAUAAGGUGCAGCUGGGAAGUUAAAUUUCCUCAACAAGAAAACUACUAGUACUAAAAUUGUGGCUUUACCUUCUACUCAAGCAAACAAGAAUAUCUUCAUUGUAAAUCAAAUACUGAUUAAAAUAGUAACAAAAGAAAGGAAGAAAGAUACAUGAAUUUAUAUUCUAAUAAAAAGGUAGCAAGAAAGCUGAUCGAUAGUAUAUGUGAACAAAUAGUACAUUGAAAAAUGAUUGUUGUUGUGAAGAAAGAAUAUCCUGUGUGUUUUGUUGCAUGUGCCUUCGCUUACCAUUUUUUCAAUACAGCAAUAAUAACACUAUAAUGUAUUAAAAAAAAAAGAAGGAAGAUUUACAAACAUCACUUAUUUUGUCUGUAUUGAAAUAUGAUGGUCAAAUAAAUAAAAGUGUACAUUUAAAGGUAGUUUGAUUGGGAUGUCUGAAGUUUGACUAAAUUUGAAUUCGUGUCAGCGAAAGUUACAUAUUGGGGGUAAAACGUUUCCUAACAAAGGCGAUUCCUUAUCCAGGGGAAUUCAAACAUGAGACCUUUGGUAAAAGAUGAAGAAGUACUUAUCAGUCUAGCACAACUCUGAUUGAUAAAUAGGAUGUAUUAGAAUAAAAUCAUAGUGAAUAUGAUGUAUUAGAAUAGAAAUAAUACACCAUAUACUAUAACUAAUGUCAUGAUUUACUAUGUGUAAGAAUAUUACUGAAAAGGCGUACAACUAAUACUACCAAACAAGAAAUUAAACAAUAUCAAGACAUAUCAAUGUUAUUUUCUCUAAUACCUCCUAUCAAACGCCGCUUAAAGAUAAUAUCUACUUCUGGAGUGCUAACAUAUUUUAGCAGAAGAAAGAUAUAGCUUGAUGGUAGAGUGAGAGCUAAUUUUAUCACCAAAACAAAAUCUUAUGUUAUGCUUAACACCCAAAAUCAAAAAGAAAUCAAACUCAAUCUAUAUAUUACAAAAUCUAUUUAAUUUCUUUCUAGCCGGCUUUAUAUAUUCUCCUCUAUAAAAGAUUCCUCCAACUCCUAGAAUUUUCUAUUCCUUCCCUUUCUUGUGGUUUUAAUUUAUAAUCAACAUAUAUAGUAUAGUACCAAAUAAACAACAAUGAUUGGUCAUUGACCCCCGGAUCGCGAAUGUACCUCUUUGACUUCACUUGAACUCAGUAAUUUAACUCGUAUAUUUGUAAGAAAUUCACUAAACAAACAUAAAAAAUAAAUUCUGACCACAUAGUAAAUCAAGUUGUGAUAGAAUUUCAAAUUCAAACACAUAAUUUUCAAAUUCUGAAUAAAUAGAGAGAGAGGGGAGAUUGUACAUGCCUCAUCAAGCAUGGAUAAAAGUUUGGCCUUCCUUCUUUGAUGAUCAAGUCUCUCUGCAGUUGACAAAUUAGGAGGGAUAAUAUCCUUUGAAGAAGAUGAAUUAUUGUUAUUACUUCCACUAGGGUUAAUAAUGGGUGAUGUACUUGUGUUGUUAUUCCUAAAAACUUUGUUGAUUUUCUUGAACAAUUGACCCUUCCCAACACAACAAAACUCUUCCAACAACUCUUGUGUUGCUUUGACAUACUUUGAAUUCCUCAACACAUUGACUAGUCCUAGUGAUGACCCAAAACCAAUAUUAUGAUGAUUUUGACUUUCUUGAUUGAAAAACAACAUUUCUCCUCCACUACUCAUCCUCAAAUCUUCCACUUUGGAUGCUUCCAAAUGUUGUAAAGUGGAUGACAAGGACAAUGAAAGACCUUCAUGCCCUUGAUCAAUCACAUUUACUCCUCCAAUUGGAUUUGAAGAAGUACUUGCUCCUCCACACAUGAAUUGACUAAAAUGCCCUCCAACCGGGCUAGAAAAUCCUUGAUGAAGAGUUGAAGGAGUAGAUUGUGAUGGUGAACUUGGUUGUGGAUUCAUAAGAAAAAGUUGCAUGGACUCCGCGGUAUUUAUACUUGGUACUUGAUUGUGUUGACGCUGAUAAUAAGCAGUUACACUAUCACGGUUACUCAAUAAUACCUUCGCAUUCACAUCAUCUUUUGUAUCCCCAAAUGGUACCUGCAAACUUCCACCAACUACGAUCUCUUGUCUGUUACCAAACCACUCCCUGGUCGGAGGUUGAUGAUGUGGCUGUUGAUUCGGAUGUCUAUAGUUAUUUGACAAUUGAUUCUGUAACAACUCAGUUGCAGCCGUGGAUGUUGUCUGAAAAUUGAACAUUUCAGACAACAACCCGGCUGUCUCAUAAACUUGGAUUCCACUUGAUUCUCCUCCUUGUGGCUCAAACCCUUGUUCUACUCUUAAUUUUUCUCGUUGGAUCUGGAGACCGAUAUGUUGUUGUUGGUCUUGAGGUCUCUCAAAUUCAUUCGAGAAACUAGCAAGACCUUGGUGAUGAUAGUCUUGAGACAUUGGACUAUUCUAAGAAACGGUUCAAAAAUUGAAGCGUAUCACCAUCUCAUCUGAUCAUUUUCUUUUGAAUUUCUUCAACCAUCACGAUAAAUUAACCCACCUCCUUCUUUUCUUGCAAUUGGCUUCUGAGUCUACUAUAGAUCGAGCAUAAAAUAGUAAAAAUAAAUAAAUAAACAUAGAACAAAGAGAUCAUGGAUACAACUAUAAUUGGGAACAAGGAAAGUAUAAAAAAAAAAAAAAAAGAGAGAAUAAUCAAAGUAAAGACUUUUUUAUUUUUUUCAAUUUCUUUAAUUUUUUUUUUAAAAAAGAAGUUGAAUUUUAUUUACCUCAUAGAAUUGCAGGUCGGAAAAGGUUGCAAAGCCUCUCAUCAGCUAUCGUUUUCACUUCAACAUAUGAACAAUGUUUUUUUCGCUUUCUCUUUGUUUGUGUGUAUAUAUGUUGUUUGUAAGGCUGUCGUUUUUUUUUUUUACUUUUCUUUCUCUAUCUCUGUCUUUGUUGCUCUUUGUAUUUUGCAGUGAUUGUUGUCUCUGCAAUUGCCUUCUGGAAAGAGAGAGUCUAAUAAGUAACAACAAUAAAGUGUACUUUUAUAAUGCAGAUGGACUUGCUCUCAUAAUGUGAAUUUUAACAUGUAUCCGUAGAUGCGCGUUUGGACAUAAAAAUUAUGAAAUUAAAAAAGAAUAGAGCAUUUGUUAUUAAAUACCUCGGGUCCAUUAUUUAGGAUAGUGGGGACAUCGAUAAUGAUGUCAAACAUCGCAUUGGUAUAGCAUAAAUGAAAUGGAGGCUUGCCUAUGGAGGCUUGUGUGAUAAGAAGGUAUCUUCUAAAUUUAAAGGCAAGUUCUACAAAGUGAUGGUUAACCUGUUCUUGUUGUAUGGUGUGGAGUGUUGGUCUGUCAAGAGCUCACAUGUACAGAAGAUAUAUGUUGUGGAGAUGAGGAUAAGUGGAAAUACUAGGAGUGACAAGAUUAGGAAUAUUGAGGUUAAUCAGGAGAAGGUGAGAGUGGCGGACAAGAUGAGGGAAACGAGACUCAUGAGAUGAUUUGGAUAUCAUGUUCAUUUGCAGAAGAGGUGCACCGAUGCCAAGUGAGGAGGUGCGAGAGGUUGGAUUUUAGGGGGUAUGUGGAGAGGUAGGGAAAUGUCGAAAAGAUAUAGGGGAGAUGUGAUUAGACAAGAUAUGGUGCAACUUCAUAUUAUCGAGGACACGACUUUAGAUAGGAAACAAUGGAGGUUGCGCAUUAGGUAGAAGGCUAGUAGGGGUAGAGUGUCGUCUUGCCUUGUGAAUAUUUAGUGCCUUCCAUAGGACUAGUCGUGCCCUUGUAGUUCUUGACAUUUGUUGUUUAUUGCUUUUCAAUUAUCACAUUAUUUUGUUGUUGUUAUUGUUUCUCUAUUAUAGACUUUACACUGCUUUUCUUGCUAACUACUCUGCUUACUCUAGUGUUUUCUUCUUCUUUUACUUCGGUUUGAUACACUUGAAUCAAGGGUCUUUCGAAAACAGUUUAUCUACCUUCACGAGGUAGUGAUAAGGUUUGCGUACACUUUAACCUCCUCAGACCUCACUUUUUGGAAUUUCACUGGGUGUAGUGUUGUUGUUGGAGAGUUAUGUUUGGAAAUAAAUAGGAAUUGAAGUUGUUUUUUAUUAAUUUUUUUUUUUUGAAUAAUUUAGAGGUAAACGCCUCUUUUUCUCCUGAAGUUGUUGGAAUUAAUUACUCGUAAUAAGAUAUUAGUGAAAAAUAUGAAAAUGAUUUUUUUUUGGAGUUUUUCGAAUGCUAAAAAAUUGUAAUAAUUACAUGUCCAAAUAAUUUUGCUCUUUAGAGAUGGUGAUGACUUGUAGAAGAUGAGUCGCUGGAGCGUACAUAAGUUAGAAUCAUGCCUAUAGCAAAGAAGGGGAAAAGGAAGAAAUUUUAGAAUUAAGAAAUAGGGAGAAAAGGUCGUUGUUCUUCUUGCUCACAAUUCAAAUUACCACUUGUAAUUUCUCUAUUUCAAUGUUUUAUUUGACGGUAUUUAAUUAAAUAUUAUAUCUAAUAGGAGCAUGUCAAUUGUGACUAAUUAUGCAACGGACAUAUAGUCAAAAGAGUAGAAUAAUGUGACAUGAAUAGAUGACAGAGCAGAAAAUGACCAAGCUACAAUAAUUUGUACAUCAUCAAAUUUUGCACACUUAUCUAGAUUAUGAUUGUUGAAGAGAUAGUUGGUAAUUAAAUAAGAUUAGGUUGAAAAGAUAUCUCACCAUCAUUUUAAUAAUUAAUCAGACGCUAAUCUAUCAUUAUCAUAACUUUGCUUAUCCCCUCAAUCAAACCCGGCCAAGGCUAUAAUAGUCAAUUUGCAUCGGUUCUUGAUAGCAAUAACAUUAAACCAGGCCAAGGCUAUAAUAGUCAAUUUGCAUCGGCUCUCGAUAGCAAUAACAACAGAUUUUGGAGAAAAAAAUGACUUAUAAAUAUUUAAUUUGAUAGGUUAUGUGUCACCUAAUUCAUUAUAUGCAGAGAAAUAUGAUCGUUUAAAAUUGAUCUUUUCAGAAACUAAAGUGAAAAACUUAGCCGGUGAAGAUUUUGAACUCGACUUAGUACACUAGAGGUCCUAAGCCACUUCCAAUGCCUUCCCACUUAAAGAAUGAACAUUAACACAUAAGCACAAAUAGGACAUCACCCAAUUCAAGCUUAUAUACUUAUGACAAAAGAUUCAGAUUCAAAAAAUAAAAUUACGAUCUGUUAUAGAUAUAUAAAUAAGUAUAUGAUCCACUACAAGAAAAGUGUGAAUUACAUGGAGAGUUUCCUAGGAAUUAGUAUGAAAAUUUGCAGAAAAAUAAGUUUUCUAUGGAUUUUCAUACUAAUCCCCAGAAAAUCCUCAUGUAAUUCACAGUUUUCUUAUAGUGUGAAUUACACAAAUUUUUGUUGCUAAUGGGUGUUAGUUGUGUGGGCCUUUAAUCUUCGCAUCGACAUAUGUAUCGGCUUGACUUUUUGUAAAAAAUGAUGAAAUAAAAAUAUUCAUAAUAAAGACGAUUAUCGUAUAUUACUUACUCGACACACUUUUAUUAUAGUAUUUGAAAUUUGAAUAGAUACUGUUAUUUUUCUUUCGAAUUACAAUAUUAUUAUUUGAUUAGAUCAUAUUUAGUAUGUGUCUAUAAAUGAAAUUAAAUUAAUAGUACUAUUUGUUUUUUUUGGUGAGGCAAUGUCGGAUGACACUACAUGGUGUCUCUACCACUGGUCAUACUGGUAACUUUCUGGCCUUUCUUUGAAAAAAAAAAAUCUUUAAUCUUUAUUAGAACCUGGCAAAAGGAAAACUAGAAAUGAGUCAAAAACUGGAAAAUAAAGAAACAAACGUGCAGGAGUAGUGACAAAUUUUUUACUAAAAAUCUUAUGAAAAAAAAAAACUAAAAAUUUUAACUGACAAGCUAAAGUUUUUUAAAAUUCUGCAAAUAUUUUAUCAGUUUAAUAUUUUGUAUAUAAAUUUGAGAAAUAUAAGUAAAUUAGAUUCGAGCUUAAUGUUGUUCGAAAUAUAAUUUCUUAAGGGAUUGUUUGAUUUGAAGAUAAGUUAUACUAGAUUAAUUAUCCUAUAUUAUUUCUUAAUGGUCAUUUAAUUUGUUGUAUUAAAAAUAGUAUUUAUGGUAUAAUUUCUAAGAAAAUUGUUUGUUUAUAAAAACACCCUUCAUUUUUAUUAAGUAUUAGAAAAAAGGAUUUAAUGGACCACAUAGAUUUAUUUUAUUUAAUCCCGAUAUUGUUGUUUCAUUCUUAUCCUGAUACUAAUUAUUAAGUUCCAGCUGUUUUUCCCGCAGCAAUUCAGCUCUGAAGACAUCUAAAGUUGCAGGCACGCCCUAUUCCAAAGCAAUAGUCUCAUUAUUAUAGCUUUAACUGUCUAACAUAUCAAGACAUAAAAUCUGAUUCUAGCAUCUGUCAAAAGUGAUCUAUAGCUUAGUCUUGCAUGAAAUGCCACCACUAUCUUACAUCACAGCAUCAAUUGUUUGGUUGAUCAUUUAAGAACUAUAUUAAAGUUAGAAUAACAGAGUACAUAAAAUAAUUGGAAGCAAAAAUCAUACUCCCUCCGUCCCAUUUUAUAUGAUGUACUUUGAUUUGGCACAAACUUUAAGAAAAAUGGAAAGACUUUUAAAACUUGUGGUCCAAAAUGAAUGAUAGAAAUUUGUGUGGUUGUAAAUCAUUUCAUUAAGGGUAAAAAAGACAUUUUAUAGGCAAAUUGUUACUUAAAAUAGAAAUGUGUCAUUCUUUUUGGGACUGACUAAAAAGGAAAGCAAGUCAUAUAAAUUGGAACAGAGGGAGUAUAAUUUAUCCUUAGAUUAGUAAUUAAAUGAGGAAUAAUAUUGUAUUAAAUUUUAUCUCAGGAUCAAAUGGUUAUUGCAUAAAUCAACACUUUUAAUGAAUCUAUCAGAAUUUCAAUACGAAUAUCAAACGGUUUUGGAGAUGGGUAACUUUCAAUUACCCUUUAGUCACGGUCUUUAUUUGCUCAGAUGUUUUUUGCAUGCUCCGAGGUAUUUUGUGUGAUUGUUACUUACGCAUCCGGUACUUACUUUUCAAUGAAUCAACACCACACAUGUUAAUUUUGGUCAGUAAAAAAUUGUACAAAGGUCUGCUUUUUUUGUUUUUUACUUUUCAAUUUUAGCAAAUUCAUUUUAAAAAUUAUUAUUUUAAUCCUAUACUGUUCUUAUUAUUUUAUAUAUAAUUACGUAUUAAUAAUCAAAUUCAAAUUUUCAAAUUAUAAUUAAUAAAAUUGAUACUUUCUUAAAAAAUAUGUCAGAUCAAUAUGAAUCAAGUAAUAUGAACACGAAAUGAGUAUUAGUUGGCACCACGUAUUAUAUACUCCUCCAAGCUAUAGUGAUGUACCAUGUCAACAGUAGAUGCAUAUAAUUAAACAAUGAGUCUUUUCUAAAAGAUCGAUGACAUAUUUGAAUCUUUUUCCUUUUAAUAGAUGCAUAAAUGCACCUUUUUCGAAAAAUUAAAAACAUUUUUGAGUCUUUUCUCUUUAAAAAUAAAAGUAAAAUAAAAAAUAUUAAUAAUAUAUUUUUUUUAUAUGAAAGGUUUUAGGAUUCUAUAAAUAUAGGUUUGUUCCUUCUAACUUAAUUAGCAUUUAGUCCUAGGGUUUUGAGAGUUGCGGUUAUGGGGGAGAAUUUUGUGUUCCUCCUUGUAUUCCGAGUGAAUUGGUUGAGGUUGUUUCUCUCUAUAUUUUAUACUCUCAUAUUUAUAGUGAAUUGCUCAUCUCCUUUGUGAACGUAAGUUAAUUGAUUGAACCACGUUAAAUCUUUGUGUCUUUUGAUGUAUUUCUUGUUUAUCUUCUUACUUAUGGUCUUUCGAGAUUUGCUUUGUUAGCUUCCACGUUACACCUGCUUAUUUCAAUCUCAACAAAAAAUACCACUUGUUUUGAAAGGAUCAUCCAAUUGCAUUGAGUACUUUACAAUGAUAUCAUGUAUUUAUCUGUUUUAACGCGUGGUAUCAACUGAGCCAGAUUUAGUAUACUGUUUUUGUUUUUACAUUAACUGUAAAUGUAAAUAUAAGAUCGACACGUACGCUUGUGAAAACUUAAUUUUAGAAAGUUGAAUGAGUCAAAUGUGAUAACUACUCCAUCUAUUUAGUAAAAAAAAAACUGUAGUUACAUAUAUAUAAAGGGUGUUUGUUAGAGGUUUUGCAAUUGGUCACACUAAAAACUCAAAGAAAAAGGGAAACAUCAAAAUGAGAGAUAAACUUUCUAACUGCUAAGCAAAUUGAUGCUUGACAGGCUAACCCUCCCUUUCGAUAGGACCACUUCACCUUUCAAAAUAUCUUUAUUUUAUAAGUGUGCAAAUAAGUUAUAUACAUUGUUGGUAUCGUAUGAAAGAAUUUUUAAUUCACAUUAUCACGUUAGUUUAAUAAUAUUUACAUGUAAACCUCUUCUAAAAUAAGAAAUUAAUAUCUUAAGCUCAUAAGUUAAAAUAAUAGUUUAUUUUCUGGGGCACCACAAAAAGUGUAGUGGGCUGAAUAGUUGAGAUAUUUUAUUUUGUCAAAUAUCUUAAAUGUGGAAAAAUUGUAUGAAAUAACAAACUAUUAAUUCAAAUUAAAUGUUAUAGUCAUAGUUUAUUUUAUUUGUAAUUCGCAGCAAACAUCUUAAUUUUUUGCCAUCUGAUUCGGUAUACAAUUAGCCAUUUUCAGUAUAUAAUUAGACAUUUUCGGUAUACAAUUAGCUAUUUUAUACAUUUCGGCAUAAAAUAUUUAAAAUGUGUUUGUGUUUGUAUAAAGCGAGAGAAAAGUAUAUAUACAAAUACAAAUACAUAUAUUUUCGUUCUAUACACUUAUAAUUAUACAAAUACAGAUCUUAUUAUACAAAUUACAAUGUAUAAAUGAAUUUCUACAAAACUGAAUAAUUUGUAUAAAAUUGGAUGUAUCUACGAAUUAUACAAAUCAAAAGCUCCAUAGCAAAUAUAAAAUUUGUUAUGGAGAGCAAUUAUGCAAAACUAUAGCUAUAACAUACAAAUAUAAUUUUUAUGUUUGCUAUAUGUGAAAGUUGCUCAUCUUAAAUUGAGCAUUGAUUGAAAAAUCUUUUGAUAAUUUUUUUUUAUCUCAUUGUAAAAUUCAUCGACGUGAACUUAAAUUAAUUGAAAAAAUCAAUAUAUUUGAAUAUCGAAUGAAUGGUUAAGUGAUCAUGAUCGUAAAUUCGCAAUAUAAAUUGUACAUCACAUGUUCGAACUUACGUUCAACACAAAUAAUUUGUUGAGGUGAAAUGCUAUGAAUUUAAGCAUCAGCCAUCACACAACCUUAUACAUACGUCGCUUCUUUAAAAAACAUAUAAAUUUAAUCGCCGCAAGGGAAGAUUUUAAUUAUAAUCAAUGUGAAUUAUUGAAAGCUAAAAUGACGUUUAUAUAUACUCCCUCUGUCUCAAUUUAUGUGACACAUUUCGUUUUUCGAGAAUCAAACAAUUCAAAUUUAACCGAGAAUUUACUCAUGGAAUCUUCAAAAAAAAAUUAAAUGAAAUUUAUAUAUUUGUAAACUAUGUAAAAGGUACUAUAAAUCGUAGUGAUUGACAAUUCAAAAUAUUUAAAAGAUGUAUGAAAAAUUUAUGGUCAAAGAUAAACUUGUUUGAAUUUCAAAAUCCAAAACGUGUUAAUAUAGUAGCAGAGAAGGUAGAAUUAAUUAGAAAGGUUUACAUUGACAUUGUUGUCUUCUUUUGCGUGGCAAUUAAUGUUUUCCUCCAUCGAAAACAUGUGGUGUAGGUUUGGUGUCCAUGCUACAUCACUAACAUAAAUUUAAAACUAUAUCAUAGUACAAGUAGUAGUAUCUAUAAAAGCAAAUCAUUAUUACUGAUAAUAAUUAUUAAGAGGGCGUUUGGAUUGGCUUAAAAGUAGGUCAAAUCCACUUUUAAGUCAGUUUUUGACUUCUAGAUGUGUUUGUCAUUUACAAACAUAGACGUACAUUACGUUCAAUUAUUAAAACAUCGUCUAGCUAAUGUAUUUUCAAUUUAAUCAAUAUAUAUAUAUAUAUAUAUGUAUAUAAACAGAUGGUGGUUAUUAUCUUCUUCUUCUCUUUUUUUUGGCAUCAUUAAUUUAUACCUUUAAUUUCCUUUCUUGGAUGCUUCCUGUCGUUAUUUUUAUUCCGUCUUUUUGGGAACAAUAUGACUGUACAAAACCUUUAAUUUACUAAUAUUACACAGUGACCACAUUCCCACUCAAGUGCCCUAUACUUCUAUUUUUUGCUUACAUGAUCAAGUCUCAACCAUACAAUAUAACCACCAAAGAUGUUGUGCAGCGGAUAGGACUGUUCAUCUUUUAAUUAGAGGCUUCAGGUUCGAAUCCUGAUUAUGAAAAAUCUUUAGUAGAGCCAUGCGCGUCACGAAUUCGGAAUAAUCAGUCUCCAGUGCAGGUAUCCGACAUCGGAUGAAAAACAAAAAAAAAUACAAUAUAAGUUUGGGUGAAUAGUCAAAUAUAUACUUGAUCAUAUCUUUCAAUUAAGUUGGAAUCUUGAUAAUUGUGGGUUCAUAUCUUCCCCUUUAUAUCUCGCAAAUUCCAAUUUAUUCAGCAGAAUUAAUCAUUUCCAUGAGGUGUUUUAAUUAAACUAGUGUACAGCAUGCAUUGACUGCGUCAAACAUGACUAACUUUAAUUUGCUGUGUUACACAAUCAUCAAAAAAAUAUUGGUUGAUGUGUCUAAAGUUAAUGGUAUUGGUUUAGGAGGAGCUGUUUGUGAAAGUGAUGUAAAAUGUAAAAACUGUUUCACUGAUUAGAGGUUGUAAGUUAUGUUAGUGUUUGAAUAUAUGAUAUAGGAUCUUGAUUUGAAAUAAUUCAAAAUUCUGUAAAAAGGAAUGAUUUGAAUUUAUUUUUUAAAAAUAGAAAACUUGAGUCAAAACUCAAAAAUUAAUUUUUGUAAAAAAAAAACAUCCAUCAUUUUACAUUUUAUAAAAAAAAAAAUCAUGUUCGGCAUGAAAGAUUAUCCGUACUAUGUGAAAAGAUUAUAUAAAAAAGUAACUAGUUACUAUUAUUGUUGAUUAGUUGAUCUUUAAUUAUAAAAUUAUGUGUCUUUGAAAAUUUGUAAUUGCAAAUAUUUAUUUAUAAAAUGAAUAUUGAGAUAUGUGAUUUAUCAAUGUGGUGCCUGAGGGCCGAGAAUAUUCUGAUAUCUUGUUAUGAACUAUGAUUUAUUAAUUUAGUAAGAUUGUGUAAGAAUUGGAGAAAAUUUGAUAGUUUUUACAGCUAGUAGAGUUUUCAUGUUUAUGAAAACAAAAGUACAACUGAAAAAAUACAAAUCACAUAUACAAACAAAAUUUCAAUUUUAUAUCAAUUUGAUUUCAAAUCAUAAUUUUCAUAUCGCAUAUCUAAACAGACCCUAAUACGUGUCAUACCCAAAAAUGGAUACAUGAUUAGAAAGCUCCGAUAUUAGAAUAAUGGCAACGACCUCAAGUGAUAGUUCGCUCAUAUCUUAUAUAUACGAUCUGAGUCAAAGAUAUUGAGUUCAACGGAAAUCAUAUAUUACACCCUGGAACCCAUAUAAUCUUUAGUAGACACAUUUCAAUGAAUUCACUGUAAAUGCUAAUUUUCUGUUUCUCCUUUGCAAUUUAGGAGAUGUAUAUUGUUCAUGAAAAACUAUUGUUAGAUUCUUAAAAGAUAAAAAAGAGAGAUAGCUAUGAGUUCAAGUAAGAAAGUACAACUUCUCUUUUCACAGAGUUUCAUUACCCCACCCCCCCUAAAAAUUAAAAGCAAUACUAAUCUAGCUCCAUGUACUAGCUCUAUUUUUAGAAAGAAAGAAAAAAAGAGAGCACAUAUUUAUAAUUAAUUAUCAAGUCCACAUUCAUAGAAAGGAAUGAGGCUAGUAAAACAUUUAAAGAAAUUUUGAUGCCUCAAAAUAAUUUAAUCAUGAAUUUAAUAGUUUUGUUUUAAUUUUAAUUAAAUUAAUAUUGAAGAUUGUAAAGAAACCUACAAAAUUUAUAUGAAGAAAAAAAACUAUUUAGAGUACUUUUUAGCAGAAAUAUUUUAGAACUUGAAUUAAAUAACUCAAACUCAUAUUAAUAAAUAUAGUUUUUACAAUCAUAUCCAAAGUAAUAUAUUGUUAAUAUAUGGCUAACAUGAAUUUAAUCAUUACUUUAUAAAUAAUAAUAACACUUUGUAAAGUUUUCAAUUAUAUAAGAUAAUAUAUUACAAGUAAAUAACUCACCAUAAUGUCUAAAAUGUGAUUGAAAAUUAAGUAAGAUCAACCUUAAAUCAAUUACACUCACAAUAUAAAGUUGAUUAACAAUUAUAAUUACUUAAGACAAACAUUCAUAUUUAACUCAUAGAGCUUAAGUGAAUUUUAAUGCAUACAAUGUUUCUUUUGUAGUCACAAGUUAUGUUAUAACCAAAUUAGAUAACUUCAUGUGAUGAUUUAUUAUCACAUAAAUAUAUACCUCACUUAUUUAAUUUGGAAUUUUAAAAUUAUCUAAUUAACAUCGAUUUAAAAUGAUAAUUUUUUAACAACUUGGUUGUUUGCUAGUCAAAUAAACAAAAAUAAUAAUAAGAAAAAAGUACGUUAAAAGAAGAACUUUUACCUAUGGACCAAUAUUAGGGAUGAUAGGGAUGACAAAAUGGGAUUAGGCGGUCGCCGAAUCAGUACAAAUUUUAAUAAUUUAUUAUUUUUAACUGGUGCCUGAAGCAAUGGAGCGUGGAUUAUGAAUCAAGUACAAGAAAACUGAAUAAUAAUAAUUUAACUCACAAUUCAAUGUAUUUUUUCCUUCCACUUUUAUAUUUCAGAUUUAUUUUAAAGCCAAAUGAUUAAUUAUAGUCAACAAUGUAUAUUCAGAGAUUAUUGAAGGCAAGAUGAGCAAUUCAAAAAAUUACACUAUUAAACUCACAAUGCACUUCACUUGAAUUGUGAAAAAAAAAAAUUAAUAUGCAACCACACCCACAUAGCCUAGAACUCAUCCGCACCAUUGGCAUUCCUACCUACCCACAAUGCACUUCACUUGAAUUGUGGGAAAAAAAAUUAAUCUGCACCACACUUGCAUUGCCUAGAACCUAAUCAAAUUUUAAAGCAACUGAGACCUAAUAGGGAAACCUAAGGUUGGAAUAGAUGGCUUAGUAAUAUUAUGAAAUGUCACUUACGAACUUAUUUAUUCUACUUUCAUUAGAAAAGUAAUUUUACUGAAUUUAACGGAACUUGUUUUCUUAAAGAAAUAUUUUGACCAACCAAACAUGAAAAAAUUGACCAACACUUUUUAUGUUUCCUCCCUAAGACACCCAUGUAAAUAUUGAUGAACCAAAAAUAAGCUAAGACGAGUGAUUAAUAAACAAAAUGCCACGGAUUUCAGCAAAAUUAUGGGUUUAAAUUAAUUUAAUUAAAUAAGUAAGAACAAAAUAAUUACUGAGGUUUAAGGAUGUGUCUUUCCCAAUCAAAGACACCCAACUUGUCUACAUCCUGAAAGGAAAGGAAGUUGGAGUAUAAUGAAUUUCUUCCUAACAACUUUGAGAUUACGACAAGAAGCAUUUCACAAGCCUGAUUUUUUUCCAAUUUUGCUGCAUCACUUAGCUCAGAAGACUGAUCUUUCCAUGGCUGGUAAAAUGACC
This 29424-nucleotide long non-coding RNA is filed under the name Solanum tuberosum (potato). RNAcentral's name for it is "long non-coding RNA (STUB_LNC002857)". The record is from RNAcentral. Lineage: Eukaryota; Viridiplantae; Streptophyta; Magnoliopsida; Solanales; Solanaceae.